This 253-nucleotide ribosomal RNA is filed under the name uncultured bacterium. Its description in RNAcentral is "partial 16S ribosomal RNA". It matches the Rfam family "Bacterial small subunit ribosomal RNA", at positions 524 to 776 of the family's 1533-position model. The record is from RNAcentral.
UACGGAGGGGGCUAGCGUUGUUCGGAAUUACUGGGCGUAAAGCGCACGUAGGCGGCUUUGCAAGUUAGAGGUGAAAGCCCGGGGCUCAACUCCGGAAUUGCCUUUAAAACUGCAUCGCUAGAAUUGUGGAGAGGUAAGUGGAAUUCCGAGUGUAGAGGUGAAAUUCGUAGAUAUUCGGAAGAACACCAGUGGCGAAGGCGACUUACUGGACACAUAUUGACGCUGAGGUGCGAAAGCGUGGGGAGCAGACAGG